Molecule: ribosomal RNA, 264 nt
Filed under: uncultured bacterium
Lineage: Bacteria
Description: partial 16S ribosomal RNA
Rfam family: Bacterial small subunit ribosomal RNA
Source: RNAcentral
GUCCACGCCCUAAACGAUGUAUACUAGUUGUCGGAGGGUAACUCCUUCGGUAACGCAGCUAACGCGUGAAGUAGACCGCCUGGGGAGUACGGUCGCAAGAUUAAAACUCAAAGGAAUUGACGGGGACCCGCACAAGCGGUGGAUGAUGUGGAUUAAUUCGAUGCAACGCGAAAACCUUACCUACCCUUGACAUGCCACUAACGAAGCAGAGAUGCAUUAGGUGCCCGAAAGGGAAAGUGGACACAGGUGCUGCAUGGCUGUCGU